UGGGGAAUUUUGGACAAUGGGCGAAAGCCUGAUCCAGCAAUGCCGCGUGUGUGAAGAAGGCCUUCGGGUUGUAAAGCACUUUUGUCCGGAAAGAAAUCCUUGGCUCUAAUACAGUCGGGGGAUGACGGUACCGGAAGAAUAAGCACCGGCUAACUACGUGCCAGCAGCCGCGGUAAUACGUAGGGUGCAAGCGUUAAUCGGAAUUACUGGGCGUAAAGCGUGCGCAGGCGGUUUGCUAAGACCGAUGUGAAAUCCCCGGGCUCAACCUGGGAACUGCAUUGGUGACUGGCAGGCUAGAGUAUGGCAGAGGGGGGUAGAAUUCCACGUGUAGCAGUGAAAUGCGUAGAGAUGUGGAGGAAUACCGAUGGCGAAGGCAGCCCCCUGGGCCAAUACUGACGCUCAUGCACGAAAGCGUGGGGGAGCAAAACAGGAUUAGAUACCCUGGUAGUCCACGCCCUAAAACGAUGUCAACUAGUUGUUGGGGAUUCAUUUCCUUAGUAACGUAGCUAACGCGUGAAGUUGACCGCCUGGGGAGUACGGUCGCAAGAUUAAAACUUCAAAUGAAUUGACGGGGUCAUAGCUG
Molecule: ribosomal RNA, 583 nt
Filed under: uncultured bacterium
Lineage: Bacteria
Description: partial 16S ribosomal RNA
Rfam family: Bacterial small subunit ribosomal RNA
Source: RNAcentral